This 362-nucleotide ribosomal RNA is filed under the name uncultured bacterium. RNAcentral's name for it is "partial 16S ribosomal RNA". It matches the Rfam family "Bacterial small subunit ribosomal RNA", at positions 338 to 697 of the family's 1533-position model. The record is from RNAcentral.
CCUACGGGAGACAGCAGUGAGGAAUAUUGGUCAAUGGACGCAAGUCUGAACCAGCCAAGCCGCGUGCAGGAAGACGGCUCUAAGCGUUGUAAACUUCUUUUGUCCAGGGACAAAAUCAUACACGCGUGCCUGUCUGAAAGUACUUUAAUAAAAAGCAUCGGCUAACUCCGUGCCAGCAGCCGCGGUAAUACGGAGGAUUCGAUCGUUAUCCGGAUUUAUUGGGUUUAAAGGGUGCGUAGGCGGGGUGUUAAGUUAGGGGGGAACAGCCGGGGCACAAACCCGGAGAUGCCUUGGAAACGGGUUGUCUUGAGAGGAGUGGCGGUAUGCGGAAUGUGUGGUGUAGCGGUGAAAUGCUUAGAGAU